GAUGAACGCUGGCGGCGUGCCUAAUACAUGCAAGUCGAGCGAACAGACGAGGAGCUUGCUCCUCUGACGUUAGCGGCGGACGGGUGAGUAACACGUGGAUAACCUACCUAUAAGACUGGGAUAACUUCGGGAAACCGGAGCUAAUACCGGAUAAUAUAUUGAACCGCAUGGUUCAAUAGCGAAAGACGGUUUUGCUGUCACUUAUAGAUGGAUCCGCGCCGCAUUAGCUAGUUGGUAAGGUAACGGCUUACCAAGGCAACGAUGCGUAGCCGACCUGAGAGGGUGAUUGGCUACACGGGCACUGAGACACGGUCCAGACUCCUACGGGGGGAAGCAGUAGGGAAUCUUCCGCAAUGGGGGAAAGCCUGACGGAGCAACGCCGCGUGAGUGAUGAAGGUCUUCGGAUCGUAAAACUAUGUUAUUAGGGAAGAACAAAUGUGUAAGUAACUAUGCACGUCUUGACGGUACCUAAUCAGAAAGCCACGGCUAACUACGUG
RNAcentral lists this ribosomal RNA (497 nucleotides) under uncultured bacterium. Its description in RNAcentral is "partial 16S ribosomal RNA". It matches the Rfam family "Bacterial small subunit ribosomal RNA", at positions 28 to 507 of the family's 1533-position model. The record is from RNAcentral.